This 253-nucleotide ribosomal RNA is filed under the name uncultured bacterium. RNAcentral's name for it is "partial 16S ribosomal RNA". It matches the Rfam family "Bacterial small subunit ribosomal RNA", at positions 524 to 776 of the family's 1533-position model. The record is from RNAcentral.
UACGUAGGGUGCAAGCGUUAAUCGGAAUUACUGGGCGUAAAGCGUGCGCAGGCGGUUCUUUAAGACAGAUGGGAAAUCCCCGGGCUCAACCUGGGAACUGCAUUUGUGACUGUAGAGCUGGAGUACGGCAGAGGGGGAUGGAAUUCCGCGUGUAGCAGUGAAAUGCGUAGAUAUGCGGAGGAACACCGAUGGCGAAGGCAAUCCCCUGGGCCUGUACUGACGCUCAUGCACGAAAGCGUGGGGAGCAAACAGG